RNAcentral lists this unclassified non-coding RNA (284 nucleotides) under uncultured fungus. RNAcentral describes it as "partial contains 5.8S rRNA and ITS2". The record is from RNAcentral. Lineage: Eukaryota; Fungi.
AACGCACAUUGCGCCCCUUGGUAUUCCGGGGGGCAUGCCUGUUCGAGCGUCAUUACACCAAUCAAGCACCGCUUGGCAUUAGGUCACUUCGCCCCCGGUCCCCCUCGCGGGGACGGCGGGGCGGGCCUCAAACCCAUCGGAGGAGUCUCACUGGCUUUGGGCGUAGCAGAAUUUCUAAAACGUCGAGAGCAGCGGGCCCCCAGCCGCGAAGAACGGCGGUCGAGAGACCCCAUCUUUUCUCAAAGGUUGACCUCGGAUCAGGUAGGAAUACCCGCUGAACUUAA